Non-coding RNA from Clostridium sp. CAG:594, 32 nucleotides. The record is from Rfam. Lineage: Bacteria; Bacillati; Bacillota; Clostridia; Eubacteriales; Clostridiaceae.
CUAUGACUUUAUAAGAGUCAUGGCGAAAGGAG